UACGGAGGGUGCAAGCGUUAUCCGGAUUCACUGGGUUUAAAGGGAGCGUAGGCGGGCAGAUAAGUCAGUGGUGAAAUCUUUGGGCUUAACCCGAAAACUGCCAUUGAUACUAUUUGUCUUGAAUAUUGCGGAGGUAAGCAGAAUAUGUCAUGUAGCGGUGAAAUGCUUAGAUAUGACAUAGAAUACCCAUUGCGAAGGCAGCUUACUACACAUAUAUUGACGCUGAGGCUCGAAAGCGUGGGGAUCAAACAGG
This 253-nucleotide ribosomal RNA is filed under the name uncultured prokaryote. RNAcentral's name for it is "partial 16S ribosomal RNA". It matches the Rfam family "Bacterial small subunit ribosomal RNA", at positions 524 to 776 of the family's 1533-position model. The record is from RNAcentral.